GAAUUGGAAAGAUGAAUGAGAUUUUUAACAAUAUAUUUUUGUUUUCCAUUGUUUUCAGGAUUUUCAUACAUCAAUCAAUUGGUUCCAGAUUUUAACAACAAUUACAGUAAUUAAAGAGUUUAACAUACUCAUUCAUUUACCAAUACUCAAAUAUUUAGGUGAGUUGGUUCCUGAUUACCUGCCGCAGGUGCCAGGUUUGCAUAGGAUAGUACAACAAACUAACAGUAAGGGAAAGGGUCUAACAAAAAUGGAAGUUCAUAACAGACUCUAUUGAGUCUGUAAGGCAAUACAAGAAAUGAGAUAACAAUUACGGUGAUGACAAGAUUCUGUACGCUCAUGAGUUCCUAAGUGAAACAGAUUGUGUUGCUGAUAAUUGUCCAAGCUAACUCAUAACCGAAUUCGUAACCAAAUUUUGACAGAAUGGAAGGGGAGAGAAUUGUGGGAUUUAAGAUGGUUCAAGAAC
Molecule: long non-coding RNA, 463 nt
Organism: Vicia villosa (hairy vetch)
Lineage: Eukaryota; Viridiplantae; Streptophyta; Magnoliopsida; Fabales; Fabaceae
Exons: 3
Source: RefSeq, a predicted model, not a curated record